GACGAACGCUGGCGGCGUGCCUAAUACAUGCAAGUAGAACGCUGACUACUUUAGCUUGCUAGAGUAGAAGGAGUUGCGAACGGGUGAGUAACGCGUAGGUAACCUGCCUACUAGCGGGGGGUAACUAUUGGAAACGAUAGCUAAUACCGCAUAACAGUGUUUAACACAUGUUAGAUGCUUGAAAGAUGCAAUUGCAUCACUAGUAGAUGGACCUGCGUUGUAUUAGCUAGUUGGUGGGGUAACGGCCCACCAAGGCGACGAUACAUAGCCGGCCUGAGAGGGUGAUCGGCCACGCUGGGACUGAGACACGGCCCAG
Molecule: ribosomal RNA, 316 nt
Filed under: uncultured bacterium
Lineage: Bacteria
Description: bacterial SSU rRNA
Rfam family: Bacterial small subunit ribosomal RNA
Source: RNAcentral